This is a transfer RNA of Astyanax mexicanus (Mexican tetra), 74 nucleotides long. It matches the Rfam family "tRNA". From Rfam's summary of the family: Transfer RNA (tRNA) molecules are approximately 80 nucleotides in length. NCBI's taxonomy places the organism in Eukaryota, Metazoa, Chordata, Actinopteri, Characiformes, Acestrorhamphidae. The record is from Rfam.
GCCCGGAUGGCUCAGUCGGUAGAGCAUGAGACUUUUUAAUCUGAGGGUCCAGGGUUCAAGUCCCUGUUCGGGCG